AUGAUACUCCCUUCGUUCUAAAAUUCUUGUCUUAGAUUUGUCUAGAUACAGAUGUAUUUAACACUAAAAUAUAACUAGAUACAUCCGUAUUUAAACAAAGAAAAUAAAAAUUUUGGGACGGAGGGAGUACUAC
Non-coding RNA from Triticum aestivum (bread wheat), 133 nucleotides. NCBI's taxonomy places the organism in Eukaryota, Viridiplantae, Streptophyta, Magnoliopsida, Poales, Poaceae. The record is from Rfam.